This 460-nucleotide ribosomal RNA is filed under the name uncultured bacterium. RNAcentral describes it as "partial 16S ribosomal RNA". It matches the Rfam family "Bacterial small subunit ribosomal RNA", at positions 338 to 795 of the family's 1533-position model. The record is from RNAcentral.
CCUACGGGUGGCAGCAGUGGGGAAUAUUGGGCAAUGGGCGCAAGCCUGACCCAGCAACGCCGCGUGCAGGAUGAAGGCUCUAUGAGUUGUAAACUGCUUUUGUACGAGGGUAAACCCCGAUACGUGUAUCGGGAUGAAAGUAUCGUACGAAUAAGGAUCGGCUAACUCCGUGCCAGCAGCCGCGGUAAUACGGAGGAUCCGAGCGUUAUCCGGAUUUAUUGGGUUUAAAGGGUGCGUAGGCGGUUUGAUAAGUUAGAGGUGAAAUGUCGGGGCUCAACCCCGAAACUGCCUCUAAUACUGUGGGACUAGAGAAUAGUUGCGGUAGGCGGAAUGUAUGGUGUAGCGGUGAAAUGCUUAGAGAUCAUACAGAACACCGAUUGCGAAGGCAGCUUACCAAACUAUAUCUGACGUUGAGGCACGAAAGCGUGGGGAGCAAACAGGAUUAGAUACCCUAGUAGUC